RNAcentral lists this non-coding RNA (791 nucleotides) under Balta valida. Lineage: Eukaryota; Metazoa; Arthropoda; Insecta; Blattodea; Pseudophyllodromiidae. The record is from RNAcentral.
UAAAAGUUUUAUUCUUGCUUUAUUAUUUGUUUUAAUAUUAUUUUAUAUGCUAAUUUUUGUAUUUGACUAUUCCUAGUGGGUUGUUAUUAUACAUUGCAGUAAUAAGUAUUAUUUAUUUGGGUUACCUUGAUUUAGUUAUUGUUAUUAAUUGUUGAUUAAAUAUGUGCCAGCAAUCGCGGUUAUACAUUGGAUGAAAGUGAAUACUUUUAGUUAGUGUGGUUAUAAGUAUAUCUUAAUUUUGUUUUGUAUAUUGAUUAGGUGAAAUUAUUAAUAUUUGUUUAUUAAUUGGUAUUUAUUUUUAGAAGCCAUGAAAUUUUUAAUAUAUAGACUAGGAUUAGAUACCCUAUUAUUUUUUAUGUAAAUUUGUUAACUAGGGUAGUAUUAGAUAAGUCUUGAAACUUAAAGAAUUUGGCGGUGUUUUAUUUCUUUUUAGAGGAAUCUGUUCCGUAAUCGAUAGUCCGCGAUGUAUCUUACUUUUUAUAUCAGUUUGUAUACCGCCGUUGUGAAUAUUUUUUUAGAAUUUAUAAAUUUUCUUUAUUUUUUAUUAGAAUUUAUUUCAGGUCAAGGUGCAGCUUAUGAAUGGAGUGGUAAUGGAUUACAAUAUUUUUUUAGUAUAUGGAUAUUAUUAGUAUUAAUUUUUUGAAGGUGGAUUUGAUAGUAAUUUUAUGUAGAUUAUUAAGGUGAAUAGAGCUCUGGGACAUGUACAUAUCGCCCGUCGCUCUCGUUAAUUGAUUAUAAGAUGAGAUAAGUCGUAACAGAGUAGGUGUACUGGAAAGUGUACCUAGAAUUAU